CCUACGGGAUGCAGCAGUGGGGAAUAUUGCACAAUGGGGGAAACCCUGAUGCAGCGACGCCGCGUGAGUGAAGAAGUAAUUCGUUACUUAAAGCUCUAUCAGCAGGGAAGAAACACUGACCUUACGGUCAGCAGACGGUACCUGAGUAAGAAGCCCCGGCUAACUACGUGCCAGCAGCCGCGGUAAAACGUAGGGGGCAAGCGUUAUCCGGAUUUAUUGGGUGUAAAGGGAGCGUAGCGGGUGUGCCGAGUCUGGAGUGAAAUGCCGCGGCUUAACUGCGGAACUGCUGUGGAAACUGGCGAACUAGAGUGCGGGAGGGGUAAGCGGAAUUCGUAGUGUAGCGGUGAAAUGCGUAGAUAUUAGGAAGAACACCGAUGGCGAAGGCAGCUUACUGGACCGUAACUGACGUUGAGGCUCGAGAGCGUGGGGAGCAAACAGGAUUAGAUACCCCUGUAGUC
RNAcentral lists this ribosomal RNA (458 nucleotides) under uncultured bacterium. RNAcentral describes it as "partial 16S ribosomal RNA". It matches the Rfam family "Bacterial small subunit ribosomal RNA", at positions 338 to 795 of the family's 1533-position model. The record is from RNAcentral.